RNAcentral lists this ribosomal RNA (119 nucleotides) under Pseudomonas jessenii. RNAcentral describes it as "partial 16S rRNA". Lineage: Bacteria; Pseudomonadati; Pseudomonadota; Gammaproteobacteria; Pseudomonadales; Pseudomonadaceae. The record is from RNAcentral.
AACCACCUACGCGCGCUUUACGCCCAGUAAUUCCGAUUAACGCUUGCACCCUCUGUAUUACCGCGGCUGCUGGCACAGAGUUAGCCGGUGCUUAUUCUGUCGGUAACGUCAAAAUUGCA